GCCUUUGUGGUGUAACGGUAGCAUACUCGGCGCGUAUUCGAAAGAUCCAGGUUCGAGUCCCAGCUAGGGCA
Stegodyphus mimosarum is the source of this 71-nucleotide non-coding RNA. NCBI's taxonomy places the organism in Eukaryota, Metazoa, Arthropoda, Arachnida, Araneae, Eresidae. The record is from Rfam.